Molecule: ribosomal RNA, 497 nt
Filed under: uncultured bacterium
Lineage: Bacteria
Description: partial 16S ribosomal RNA
Rfam family: Bacterial small subunit ribosomal RNA
Source: RNAcentral
GACGAACGCUGGCGGCGUGCCUAAUACAUGCAAGUAGAACGCUGAAGAGAGGAGCUUGCUCUUCUUGGAUGAGUUGCGAACGGGUGAGUAACGCGUAGGUAACCUGCCUUGUAGCGGGGGAUAACUAUUGGAAACGAUAGCUAAUACCGCAUAACAAUGGAUGACACAUGUCAUUUAUUUGAAAGGGGCAAUUGCUCCACUACAAGAUGGACCUGCGUUGUAUUAGCUAGUAGGUGAGGUAAUGGCUCACCUAGGCGACGAUACAUAGCCGACCUGAGAGGGUGAUCGGCCACACUGGGACUGAGACACGGCCCAGACUCCUACGGGGGGCAGCAGUAGGGAAUCUUCGGCAAUGGGGGCAACCCUGACCGAGCAACGCCGCGGGAGUGAAGAAGGGUUUCGGAUCGUAAAGCUCUGUUGUAAGUCAAGAACGGGUGUGAGAGUGGAAAGUUCACACUGUGACGGUAGCUUACCAGAAAGGGACGGCUAACUACGUG